GGGCAAUGAUUUGCCAUCUAACUCCUUGUUGAAGAACCUUGUUAUGUAAUCAGCGUAUGUGAAUUGUUGAUAAACAGCAGGUCUGUUCGAUGAGAUUAGCUCUGGAAGUGGUCCGUAUAAAUUAUCUCUAAUUCUAGGGUUGUAGAAAACUGCGACUGAAACCCGUGCUUCUGACUUUCCGUUUGCUAGUACUCUGUGCUCCACACUUUUGUACACGUCAUUUGAUGCGAUCUGAAGCAAGUCACCGAUAUUUAUAACAAGAGCGCCGGCGACGGGCUCAACAUCCACCCACCCGCCGCCGUGCCGGAUCUGCAAACCGCCGAUAUGGUCCUGCAGCAGCACCGUCAAGACUCCAGGAUCCGUGUGCGAUUUAAUCCCCACCGUCAGAUCCGGCUGUGGGCAGUACGGGUAGUAAUGCCCAACCAUCAUCCGCCCUUCUCCGUACGUCGCCUCCUUAAGCCGCUCCGAUCUCAGCCCUAAUCCCUCACACAGCACUUCCUCUAAUAAAUACCCUAAUCUCUCCGUCUCCUUCGCCCACUCCGCCACCGCCGCCCUGCAAAUCGCUGGAAUAUUCUCCGGCGCCGCCGCAACCGGCCCUAGUCCUAUCUGAAGCGUGUCUCUCCAACUCGCCGCUUUUGCGUUGAACAGAUCGAUGUUCGACAAAUACGACACUCCGGUCUCGACGUCCCUCCGGUAGUACGGCGAUUUUGCCUCCGAUGGCAGCUCGUGAAAAGCCCUAAUCGAAUCAAGAAUAUCGUCGAGCACUUUCUGCGGAACUCCAUGGUUGAUGAUUUGGAAGAAUCCGAAGGUCGACGCGGCGUUUCGGAUCUGGCCGACGAUGGAGGGACGGAGGUCAGGGGAGUCGAGGCCGGCGAGGUCGACCGUCGGAAUGACGACGGCAGCGGAGGAGGAUGGGGAUUUAGAGCUUGGUUUGAGGUCGGAGAGAGUUUCUGGCGGGUGAAUGAAAAUGCGAGGGAUUUGAUUGAUGCCAGCGUCGAGAAGGCCCUUGACGCCAGCUUUGGUUUCGUCGAAUUGCUUCAAUUCUGUGGCUCG
This 1053-nucleotide unclassified non-coding RNA is filed under the name Hevea brasiliensis (rubber tree). Lineage: Eukaryota; Viridiplantae; Streptophyta; Magnoliopsida; Malpighiales; Euphorbiaceae. The record is from RNAcentral.